CAUAACCAAGGCAGACAUCCUAACCCAAGAUAUUGGAUAUACAAAGUUUUGCCUGUAAUCUCUGUCCUUGCAUAUGGACUAGCUCUAUCAAGCACCUGAUGUGAACAAAACGAUUACAUCCUUAGUUGAUAUCACAGUUACAAUAUUACUUAUAUAUAUUAUGUAGCAAGCAAAAAAAGUCAUCAACAUUUUUUAACCUCUUUCUCCAAAUUUCCUCUCUUGGUCCAAGUUGGCAAGUCUUUCAGGACCAUAUCUUUUCAGCAGAUAAGGUAUCUGCAGUGAGAUGAUGAGCCACCUGGGAGAAUUAACACCUGGAUUUACA
This 322-nucleotide long non-coding RNA is filed under the name Anas platyrhynchos platyrhynchos (common mallard). RNAcentral describes it as "lncRNA (ENSAPLG00000019089.1)". Lineage: Eukaryota; Metazoa; Chordata; Aves; Anseriformes; Anatidae. The record is from RNAcentral.